GACACAAUACUGCAUUUCUGAUCUAAGCAUGAAGUUGAACACCAGAAGAGGAAACACGGCGAAAGAUGGGUGCAGUUACGUAGGACAUACUGCCUGGUUUGCAGGCAUGUGGCUUCAAGCAACUGCAGCAUUGGAGAAUCGGGUGCAGGGAAGACUGAAUGCAAAGCGUGUCAUCCAGCAGCAAUCACAGCAAGAGGAGACCUGGCCAAGAAGAAGGAAUCCUGGAUGAAAGUACGAAGCUGAAAAGCAUUGCAGGGGGACACUUAACAGCCUGUGGCUUUGGACAGUAUCAGUGACAGACAUUGGCCUCAAAAUAUGAAGUGCCCUCUAUUAGCUUCAGCCACUCUUAAAAAGCAGUAAGGGCAGGGGCUGAUUGGCUGUGAGAGACACAGCAAAUACAAACCACCAGAGCUGCCAGCAUCGCUGCCCAGCAGCCUCUCCUCAAAUGCAGAUAGAUCUGGGGGAUAUUGUCUGAGCAGAGGCUCCAAUUUCUCAACGUGAGCUGAGAACAAUGAGGAUGAGUGAAAACAGGAAUAAAAGGAAUUAUUUACCAUUUAGAUGAAGUGCUGAUUCUUGGUGCUGUAAUGGAGAAGCUGGCACAGCAUCAGGUUGUACAGCACAUCAGGUUGUACAGCAAUGCUGCUGAGCUGCAGCACCAUCGCUUUGUCCCACCACAUACCCUGUGGUGUUUCAAACUGUUAUUCAAAUAUUCUUACAGGGUGCACCUGAGGAUCGAAUCAUCAGUGUCAGCUCACUGCUGGAGGCUGCUGGGGAUACCAAGGUGUGAGGAAUGACAGCUCUUCACACUUCAGAAGUUGUGCUCCAUAGGGUUUGUC
RNAcentral lists this long non-coding RNA (836 nucleotides) under Gallus gallus (chicken). Lineage: Eukaryota; Metazoa; Chordata; Aves; Galliformes; Phasianidae. The record is from RNAcentral.